UACGUAGGGUGCAAGCGUUAAUCGGAAUUACUGGGCGUAAAGGGUGCGUAGGCGGCGCGGUAAGUCGGGUGUGAAAUUUCGGAGCUUAACUCCGAAACUGCAUUCGAUACUGCGGUGCUUGAGGACUGGAGAGGAGACUGGAAUUCAUGGUGUAGCAGUGAAAUGCGUAGAGAUCAUGAGGAAGACCAGUGGCGAAGGCGGGUCUCUGGACAGUUCCUGACACUGAGACACGAAGGCCAGGGGAGCAAACGGG
This 253-nucleotide ribosomal RNA is filed under the name uncultured bacterium. Its description in RNAcentral is "partial 16S ribosomal RNA". It matches the Rfam family "Bacterial small subunit ribosomal RNA", at positions 524 to 776 of the family's 1533-position model. The record is from RNAcentral.